Molecule: non-coding RNA, 57 nt
Organism: Nippostrongylus brasiliensis
Lineage: Eukaryota; Metazoa; Nematoda; Chromadorea; Rhabditida; Heligmosomidae
Source: Rfam
UAGUCUAGUGGUUAGGAUUUACGGCUCUCACCCGUAAGGCCCGGGAUCGAUUCCCGG